ACUUAUAUAGCUUAUAUUAGAGCAUUGCAUUGAAGCUGCAAGGGAGACAGAUAAUUGUUUGUAAGUG
RNAcentral lists this transfer RNA (67 nucleotides) under Trachypenaeus curvirostris. RNAcentral's name for it is "tRNA-Phe". It matches the Rfam family "tRNA". Rfam says of the family: Transfer RNA (tRNA) molecules are approximately 80 nucleotides in length. Their secondary structure includes four short double-helical elements and three loops (D, anti-codon, and T loops). Lineage: Eukaryota; Metazoa; Arthropoda; Malacostraca; Decapoda; Penaeidae. The record is from RNAcentral.